This 212-nucleotide long non-coding RNA is filed under the name Elaeis guineensis (African oil palm). Its description in RNAcentral is "long non-coding RNA (EGUI_LNC054195)". Lineage: Eukaryota; Viridiplantae; Streptophyta; Magnoliopsida; Arecales; Arecaceae. The record is from RNAcentral.
GUACAAGCCAACCCAAUACAAUCCGAUUCAAGGUUUGGAUCAAUUUUUCCAUAUUUUGGAACCCUUUCAAAACAAAAACAAUAACUCAAAAAUGAGUAUUACAGUUAAUUGCAUAGAAAUACAGAUGAAGCUCCUUUAAUGAGCGAAUAAAGCUUUAAAUACACUUUACACAAUUAGAAGGAAGCUCUUUCUGAUUUUCUCAAGGUGGUUGG